RNAcentral lists this ribosomal RNA (690 nucleotides) under uncultured bacterium. RNAcentral describes it as "bacterial SSU rRNA". It matches the Rfam family "Bacterial small subunit ribosomal RNA", at positions 32 to 715 of the family's 1533-position model. The record is from RNAcentral.
AACGCUAGCUACAGGCUUAACACAUGCAAGUCGAGGGGCAGCGCAGUGUAGCAAUACAUGGGCGGCGACCGGCGCACGGGUGCGUAACGCGUAUCCAACCUUCCCGUUACUCAGGGAUAGCCUUCCGAAAGGGAGAUUAAUACCUGAUGGUGUUCAAAUUCCGCAUGUUAUUUGAACUAAAGAUUUAUCGGUAACGGAUGGGGAUGCGUGACAUUAGGUAGAUGGCGGGGUAACGGCCCACCAUGCCUACGAUGUCUAGGGGUUCUGAGAGGAAGGUCCCCCACACUGGAACUGAGACACGGUCCAGACUCCUACGGGAGGCAGCAGUGAGGAAUAUUGGUCAAUGGUCGGAAGACUGAACCAGCCAAGUAGCGUGAAGGAUGAAGGUUCUAUGGAUUGUAAACUUCUUUUAUACGGGAAUAAAACCUCCCACGUGUGGGAGCUUGUAUGUACCGUAUGAAUAAGCAUCGGCUAACUCCGUGCCAGCAGCCGCGGUAAUACGGAGGAUGCGAGCGUUAUCCGGAUUUAUUGGGUUUAAAGGGAGCGUAGACGGGGGAUUAAGUCAGUUGUGAAAGGCUGCGGCUCAACCGCAGCACUGCAGUUGAUACUGGUUCCCUUGAGUGCGGUUGAGGUGUAUGGAAUUCGUGGUGUAGCGGUGAAAUGCUUAGAUAUCACGAAGAACUCCGAUUG